Molecule: ribosomal RNA, 511 nt
Filed under: uncultured Desulfobulbus sp.
Lineage: Bacteria; Pseudomonadati; Thermodesulfobacteriota; Desulfobulbia; Desulfobulbales; Desulfobulbaceae
Description: bacterial SSU rRNA
Rfam family: Bacterial small subunit ribosomal RNA
Source: RNAcentral
CGCCUUGCCACGCCCGCUCAGAAACUCAAAGGAAUUGACGGGGGCCCGCACAAGCGGUGGAGUAUGUGGUUAAUUCGAUGCAACGCGAAGAACCUUACCUGGUCUUGACAUCCCGGAGACCCUUAGGAAACUAGGGGGUGCUUCCAUCUGGAAGAAUCUGGAGACAGGUGCUGCAUGGCUGUCGUCAGCUCGUGUCGUGAGAUGUUGGGUUAAGUCCCGCAACGAGCGCAACCCUUGCCUUUAGUUGCCAGCAGUUCGGCUGGGCACUCUAAAGGGACUGCCGGUGUUAAACCGGAGGAAGGUGGGGAUGACGUCAAGUCCUCAUGGCCUUUAUGACCAGGGCUACACACGUACUACAAUGGCCGAUACAAAGGGCAGCGACACUGCGAGGUGAAGCCAAUCCCGUAAAAUCGGUCUCAGUCCGGAUUGGAGUCUGCAACUCGACUCCAUGAAGUUGGAAUCGCUAGUAAUCGUGGAUCAGCAUGCCACGGUGAAUACGUUCCCGGGCCUU